UACGGAGGAUCCAAGCGUUAUCCGGAUUUAUUGGGUUUAAAGGGUGCGUAGGCGGGUAAUCAAGUCAGCGGUGAAAGUUUGCGGCUCAACCGUAAAAUUGCCGUUGAAACUGGUUACCUUGAGUGUAGAUGAGGUGGGUGGAAUUCGUGGUGUAGCGGUGAAAUGCUUAGAUAUCACGAAGAACUCCAAUUGCGUAGGCAGCUCACUGGGCUACAACUGACGCUGAGGCACGAAGGUGCGGGGAUCAAACAGGAUUAGAAACCCCGAGUAGUCC
RNAcentral lists this ribosomal RNA (274 nucleotides) under uncultured bacterium. Its description in RNAcentral is "partial 16S ribosomal RNA". It matches the Rfam family "Bacterial small subunit ribosomal RNA", at positions 524 to 796 of the family's 1533-position model. The record is from RNAcentral.